ACCCGCUGAACUUAAGCAUAUCAAUAAGCGGAGGAAAAGAAACCAACAGGGAUUGCCCUAGUAACGGCGAGUGAAGCGGCAACAGCUCAAAUUUGAAAUCUGGCCCCGGCCCGAGUUGUAAUUUGCAGAGGAAGCUUCUGGCACGGCACCUUCCGAGUCCCCUGGAAUGGGGCGCCAUAGAGGGUGAGAGCCCCGUAUGGUCGGCUGCCUAGUCUGUGUGAAGCUCCUUCGACGAGUCGAGUAGUUUGGGAAUGCUGCUCAAAAUGGGAGGUAAAUUCCUUCUAAAGCUAAAUAUUGGCCAGAGACCGAUAGCGCACAAGUAGAGUGAUCGAAAGAUGAAAAGCACUUUGAAAAGAGGGUUAAACAGCACGUGAAAUUGUUGAAAGGGAAGCGCUUGUAACCAGACUUGCGCCGGGCUGAUCAUCCGGUGUUCUCACCGGUGCACUCUGCCCGGCUCAGGCCAGCAUCGGUUCUAGCGGGGGGAUAAAGGCCCCGGGAAUGUAGCUCCCUCGGGAGUGUUAUAGCCCGGGGCGUAAUGCCCCCGCCGGGACCGAGGACCGCGCUUCGGCAAGGAUACUGGCGUAAUGGUCAU
This 592-nucleotide ribosomal RNA is filed under the name uncultured fungus. RNAcentral describes it as "eukaryotic LSU rRNA". It matches the Rfam family "Eukaryotic large subunit ribosomal RNA", at positions 23 to 641 of the family's 3401-position model. The record is from RNAcentral. Lineage: Eukaryota; Fungi.